GUGGCAAUGAUGCAGAGGUCACACCCGUUCCCAUCCCGAACACGGAAGUUAAGCUCUGUAAUGCUGACGAUACUUGGCGGGUGACUGCCCGGUAAAAUAGGUCGCUGCCG
Molecule: ribosomal RNA, 110 nt
Filed under: bovine gut metagenome
Source: RNAcentral